CCAGACUCCUACGGGAGGCAGCAGUGGGGAAUCUUCCGCAAUGGACGAAAGUCUGACGGAGCAACGCCGCGUGAGUGAUGACGGCCUUCGGGUUGUAAAGCUCUGUUAAUCGGGACGAAAGGCCUUCUUGCGAAUAGUGAGAAGGAUUGACGGUACCGGAAUAGAAAGCCACGGCUAACUACGUGCCAGCAGCCGCGGUAAUACGUAGGUGGCAAGCGUUGUCCGGAAUUAUUGGGCGUAAAGCGCGCGCAGGCGGAUCGGUCAGUCUGUCUUAAAAGUUCGGGGCUUAACCCCGUGAUGGGAUGGAAACUGC
RNAcentral lists this ribosomal RNA (313 nucleotides) under uncultured bacterium. RNAcentral describes it as "bacterial SSU rRNA". It matches the Rfam family "Bacterial small subunit ribosomal RNA", at positions 331 to 636 of the family's 1533-position model. The record is from RNAcentral.